Molecule: long non-coding RNA, 2512 nt
Organism: Cucumis melo (muskmelon)
Lineage: Eukaryota; Viridiplantae; Streptophyta; Magnoliopsida; Cucurbitales; Cucurbitaceae
Exons: 2
Source: RefSeq, a predicted model, not a curated record
AACCUCACGCAAAUCCUUUCUCAAAGUCUCAAAAUCCUUUACUCAAACGUCACGAACCAUCAGAACUUCUCGCCCACCAUCCCAGAACUCCUUGGUCACUGUUGGAAAGUAGGGUUCGAAAUAUGAAAGUUGAAAUACGAAGUGUUCUUCUGACCUUGAGUCUCCAGCCUACGUUGAGGAAUCUAUUUCCAUCUUCAUCAAGAAUGAGCAUCACUUCGUCCUCGAUUGCGACUGUUUCUCGCACUUUCAAUCUUUGUCGCUUGAUGCUGCGUUAGACUAGGCUCUAUUGCAUGAAUUCUUAAGGUACGAUUUUCGUCUAUAUUUCUCCGAUUUGCUUCACGAUUGGCUUGGUAAACACUGUAAUCAUUGUCGGUGAGAGAGACGAGAAUUUGAAAAUAUAUUAACCACUUUUUAAAAUUUUUUCUGGGUAUUUAACUUUCACACAACUUUUUAUCAUUCUGAUUCAUAAACCUUUCUAGAUAUUUAACUUUCUGCUUUGUUUUUUGUGUUCCCAUUCCCACCUUUUCAAUUUGGUUCCACUUUGGAGAUUUUGCUUUUUCAUCCACACAUUCUUUGUGGGGUUUGUUUAUUUUAGAGAUUCCUGAUGUUUUUGUUUUGACAUUGUUCUUUUUUAUUUCAUAUGACUUCGUUUUGCAUGAUUUGGUUCUUCGUUAAUAGGGAUUUCUUUGGAGUAUGUGGGAUUUCACUUCAAGAUAUCGUUAUGUUUAUAUUCUCCUCAUCUCUAAGGUUUAAUACUAGUAAAAUUUUAGAAUGGAUGUCUAAUAAUGUGCACAAUAUUUGUUAUUCUUGUACUUAAAACAUCGAUUCCUUUACUGUAUACCUGCUUUGUGAACAUACUAUCACUCUCGUUAGAAUUUUUUGGGUUUUUGGUGCUGAAACUGUUGACCCCACAUCAAAAAGACAGUUUUAAUUAUUCCUUCAGUCGCAAGGCCUGAUUAAAACCAAACUUUUCUUUCCUUUAUUUAUUCAUUUUGUGUGUUCUGCUUUGAUUCUUAUUUAAAUCAAAGUUUGGUGAAUGACAUUUUUUUUAGUUCCAAGUAAUAUAAUUGGUUAAAUUGUUAUGUACCCAGUUGGGGAAUUUCAGUUCUAUCAAAUAUAUUGACUCUGCUGAUUAUGAUGAUAAAAAAUUAUGUUUGAGGGUCUCAAUGUGGUGAAACUUACCUAAAAUGUUCAUGGAUAAUAUUUUUUUUGUUCUUUUUAUUUUCAUUACUUCCAGGUGGUGGUUAAAAAGCAGCAAUAUCUGGGAGAAUUCAUCUCUAAAUGUGCUAAUUUGGAGAGAGUUUUCUUUAUGUUGUGACUUGACUGGUAGCUCAUUCGUUUGUAUAUUGUAGAAUAUUAACAAAGUUGAUUAUGAAAGAGAGGAACACCUUUUCUUUCUUUUCUGUAUUGUACAAUAUUAACUUGCAUUCCUUGGAUUUGACUUUAGGAUGCUUUUAUUUCUUAGUAAGCUUGAAACGUAUACAUAUCUUUCUUACUAGCUUCCGAUUGCACUUUCAAUUUCUUACUUGUCUUUUUCCAUAUUCAUAAUCAAGAUUGAUUAGAUCAGAGUGUGCAACAUUUGUUUUGAUUCUGAAGAUGGUUGAAUAUUUAUUUUGUCUUUUGCUAUAUGCAAUAAUUUUCUCUUUAGAUUGGCAUUGUUUAUUCCUUUUCCUUUUCCUUUCUUUCCCUUUCUUACAAAUGGGGAAUAAAGUUUUAAAUGCUAUACUAGUAUACUUUUUUAGUUUUUCUCUUUUAUUAUCAUAUAAAUCAUGUAUUUAUUUUCUUAUCCCUAGCCCUAAGAUUGGGAUUCUUAACAGAUUUAGCUUUGCUUCUGUUUACUUAAAUAUGAAACUGUCAUCCAUGCUAUUCCAUUACCAUUUUGCUAUGCUAUUUGUCAAGUUUAACUCAGUGCUUGUAGCUUCGAAGUUUAACUCCUUGCAUUUAAAUAGUCCAAAAAAAUAACUAAUGAACUGACAUAGUUCUUUUCUUGCUAGAUUUCUUAACAAAGGAAUUCAUGUUGAUAACUUGUGAUGUUUUUUUAUUUUUUUUUAUCAUUAUUAUUUGUUGUACUUCUUAAGUGGCUAGAUGUUAAACCUUGAUGAUUUUUGUUGUUCUUUGUUUUUAUGUUGAUUUUUAUUGAUUCUGGGAGUUAUAGCGCUUGAAGUGGGUGGUAACCAAGAAUAUAUGCAUCAUAUGAUUCUUCCAAGCUUUCAGAUCGGAAUGUAUGCUGCAAAAGCCUCAGUUUUGUAGCAUGAAUUUGCUUAGUCCGUGCAGACCAUAAUGGGAAGAAGAAUAAACACCAUACCAAACAGUCCGUGGAUUGAAUGCCCCCGUAGGGUUGUGUAGCCAUGAUUUUAGACCACCAUUGCCUUCUUAAUAUAUUGAACAUUUGUAUGUGUUGUGUUGUUGAAGUGAAUGUGUUGUGUUGCUGAAGCGAAUGUGCUGCAGUUAAAUGAACUGAAUGUAAACCUUUCUUAUAUUUUUAUCUUGAUAAACCUUUCUUAUAUUUUUA